GAGGCGGCACGCCUGGCGUCAAUGCCAGCCUGGAGGAGAGACAUGAUGAAGAAGAAAAUGGAUGAAGAGAGGGAACAGAAAAGAAAAGAAGAGGAGCAGGCCAAAAAGGUGAAGGAGAUCGAGGAGAAGACGGAGUUGGAGCGAAUACGAAACCUAGGCUAUGACGAGACCAAACUGGCGCCCUGGCAGCGGCAGCUCAUUUUGAAGAAAGGGGAUAUACCCAAAUAGUAAACAGGAUCAUCUCCCCAUCCUCUGCCCUGCAGCGCUCCCCACCCCAACUUAUACCAAUGCUUCCCCCUCCCUGAUCCUGCAUCCCACACUGCACAGGUCCACAGGGGAAAAGCUGGUCUUCCUUUAAACUGUGUGUUACUCUUUGGCCUCCAGACACACAGGGCCAUGCUGUGGCUGCUGCUGUCCACACGGACUCUGAGGCUCAGCUUGGGAUGACCCUGCACCUGUUUUAUUGACACAAAAUCUUGGUUUUUUUUCUUCAUUUUUUUUUAACAUUAACAACAGUUCUGAGAUGCACUGAUUCUUGUGACCCGAUAAAUGUAUGUGUCCUGAACAUAGCAUCUAUCCGCUUUCCUGCAAAUCACUAGACUAGACAAAAGUUAGAACAUUUAACAGACUUAUAAUAGAAAGAGACUACUUUUAAGCCUAUAUGCCAGACUCACUCACCUUUAUGUAAUGAAUGGGGAAAAAAAUACUCAUGAAGCAGCUAAUGCAUUCUAUAUGUAGAUAGUGUUACAUCUCCAUCAUGGCUUAGUCAUGACAUUUUUAUAUCAGUCUCAUAGAAGCGCUUUCUAGGCUUCAUUUUACUGCCACGGUUGCAAUUCUUUUCAAUUUUUUAAAGCAAAAUCUCUGCUCAAACGUAUCAGCGUCUCGUAGUUAAGCUUGUCGUGCUUUCUCAGCGGAUUUCAAAAGAUGAUAAAAUAUCCUAUUUUUCAAAAAGAAAAUGCAAAAUGAUAUAGAUUGAUUUUCACUGGAAAAGGAUAAAAGGAUUCAAAUUAGAUUUUUCAGUGUGUGACCUAAACUUUAAACUUUAAGCUGUUCUGAGCACGAAUGUUACAUGUUGUGUGCAUGUGUGGAAUGAAGCGUAUCAAGUUGUGUUGUUUUGUUAAGCAUACUUGACCCAGGGGUUCCUGGAUAUUCUCAAAGUAAAGGAAGAAAAGAAAAGACACACAAAGUCUUGUCUAGGCAUCCUCUAUGUGAGCAUAGCCUUUAAAAGAAAUGCACAUCGGCAACUUACAGCAGUCGUCAUCUUCACACUAAAUAUUUCAAAAGUUUGAGAAAAGACAACAUUUUGUCCUGUGUCAUGUUCCGGUCUUUGUCCCACUAACCUGGACUCUAAAUCUUUGAUGAGCAGAUCUGCUUACACACAUAGUCACGAUACAAAUUUUGUGAAACGACAGUUUCAGUAGUCGACCCCAGUGACUACAAAAAAGCUGAUUUUUCUUUUUCUUUUUCAAGUAUUCUUAAUGAUUCGCACAUCUGUUGGGCACAGUUUUGGCCAACAAAUAGAAAUUUGGAAAAGCUGUGUUGAAUACUUUCGGCAGAACUGAGGAGACAUACAUACUGCAAGUUUGACCAGUUCACGCAUUUGCAUAGUGGCAUUUAAGUGAGAGUAAAGCUCUUAAAUGAAAUCAAAUCAUGCUGUGUUUGUCCGGUGGUUAAAAACAUGAUGUUUCAUUUUUGUUGGAUGGACAUUUUUACAAGUAUGCACACGAUGUCACAUGAAUAUCAUGGGACUGUUUGAUCACUUGGAUAUAUUCUAAUUCACUUUCAUCGGAUGCCAUAUGAUAUUGAAAUUGAGGAUGGUGUAAAUGUCAUUGCCAUUUGAUUUUCUUUAUAUAUAAACUGUGUACAUAGUGACCCUCAGCAUUUUGUCACCUCAUUGUUUCCACAUUGCAUUAUAAUACAUGUCUCAGCCUUGCUUGAAUAGAAUAUUGGUUAAUGUGUAAUCAUAUUUUCAAACUGUUAAAGUUGAAGAAAUUAAAUCUUAAAUUACCAAAAAAAGA
Non-coding RNA from Neolamprologus brichardi, 2018 nucleotides. NCBI's taxonomy places the organism in Eukaryota, Metazoa, Chordata, Actinopteri, Cichliformes, Cichlidae. The record is from RefSeq and is a predicted model, not a curated record.